Molecule: long non-coding RNA, 730 nt
Organism: Carassius carassius (crucian carp)
Lineage: Eukaryota; Metazoa; Chordata; Actinopteri; Cypriniformes; Cyprinidae
Exons: 3
Source: RefSeq, a predicted model, not a curated record
UGUGUUGCACAAAUUGUCUUACCCCUAGCAAAUGUAUAUGAAUUAAAAGUUAUUAAACAUUCUAUAAUCCGCAAACCUAAACUUAGUUACAUGUUCCUCCUGAAUUGCAGGGCUACAAAAAUCGCAGAGCUGCAGGAGCUUGCAUAGAGAGAAGAGAAGCUUAAUGUCGAAAGAAAAUUGGUGUUAAAUGCAAUAGAAAAAGAGAGAUUGAUGACCAGCAAAAGAGAUGAUGCCUGUUUCUGGAAAUACUGUGUUUGAGGAUCUUAAACUGAAGAGCCUGGAGCAAGAAAAUCUGCAAAAUCAUCUAAUGCCUUAGAUGUGUCAAACAAGCAGAACUUUUUCAGAUAUGGAAUUAUAUGGAUUCAUAAUGUGUCAUGAUGAUCACGAUAGUUACAAUGUACUCAUGGCUGUACUCUUAUUACAAAAAUUCGGUUUAUUUAAAUGUCAUAUCAAUAAAACAUCAUGAAAAAUAUUGAUUUUACUCUUUCAUCUCAUUGUGCAAAAUAUUCCUUUUUUUUUCUUGAGUUCAAAGAAACAUGUAUACAUUAUUAAACAAUUGAAAUAGUAAAAUUAUGUCAAAAUAAAAUCAGCUAAAACUAAUUGGCUUUUAAGGGCUUUUGUCUCCCUGUAGUGUUAAGACUUUGUUUGACAACACAUAUUACACAUAUUAUCUCUCAUAACUCAUACAGGUUUGGAAUGACAUGAGGACCAAAAAUGAAGACAGAAUUUU